GACGAACGCUGGCGGCGUGCCUAAUACAUGCAAGUUGAGCGCUGAAGGUUGGUACUUGUACCGACUGGAUGAGCAGCGAACGGGUGAGUAACGCGUGGGGAAUCUGCCUUUGAGCGGGGGACAACAUUUGGAAACGAAUGCUAAUACCGCAUAAAAACUUUAAACACAAGUUUUAAGUUUGAAAGAUGCAAUUGCAUCACUCAAAGAUGAUCCCGCGUUGUAUUAGCUAGUUGGUGAGGUAAAGGCUCACCAAGGCGAUGAUACAUAGCCGACCUGAGAGGGUGAUCGGCAACAUUGGGACUGAGACACGGCCCAAACUCCUACGGGAGGCAGCAGUAGGGAAUCUUCGGCAAUGGACGAAAGUCUGACCGAGCAACGCCGCGUGAGUGAAGAAGGUUUUCGGAUCGUAAAACUCUGUUGGUAGAGAAGAACGUUGGUGAGAGUGGAAAGCUCAUCAAGUGACGGUAACUACCCAGAAAGGGACGGCUAACUACAUG
RNAcentral lists this ribosomal RNA (497 nucleotides) under uncultured bacterium. RNAcentral's name for it is "partial 16S ribosomal RNA". It matches the Rfam family "Bacterial small subunit ribosomal RNA", at positions 28 to 507 of the family's 1533-position model. The record is from RNAcentral.